RNAcentral lists this ribosomal RNA (484 nucleotides) under uncultured bacterium. Its description in RNAcentral is "partial 16S ribosomal RNA". It matches the Rfam family "Bacterial small subunit ribosomal RNA", at positions 30 to 507 of the family's 1533-position model. The record is from RNAcentral.
AUUGAACGCUGGCGGCAGGCCUAACACAUGCAAGUCGAGCGGUUGAGUGGAGCUUGCUCUAUGAUUCAGCGGCGGACGGGUGAGUAAUGCCUAGGAAUCUGCCUGGUAGUGGGGGAAAACGUCUCGAAAGGAACGCUAAUACCGCAUACGUCCUACGGGAGAAAGUGGGGGAUCUUCGGACCUCACGCUAUCAGAUGAGCCUAGGUCGGAUUAGCUAGUUGGUGAGGUAAAGGCUCACCAAGGCGACGAUCCGUAACUGGUCUGAGAGGAUGAUCAGUCACACUGGAACUGAGACACGGUCCAGACUCCUACGGGAGGCAGCAGUGGGGAAUAUUGGACAAUGGGCGAAAGCCUGAUCCAGCCAUGCCGCGUGUGUGAAGAAGGUCUUCGGAUUGUAAAGCACUUUAAGUUGGGAGGAAGGGCAGUAAGUUGAUACCUUGCUGUUUUGACGUUAGCAACAGAAUAAGCACCGGCUAACUUCGUG